GUCAGGCCUAACACAUGCAAGUCGAACGGUAACAGGAAGAAGCUUGCUUCUUUGCUGACGAGUGGCGGACGGGUGAGUAAUGUCUGGGAAACUGCCUGAUGGAGGGGGAUAACUACUGGAAACGGUAGCUAAUACCGCAUAACGUCGCAAGACCAAAGAGGGGGACCUUCGGGCCUCUUGCCAUCGGAUGUGCCCAGAUGGGAUUAGCUAGUAGGUGGGGUAACGGCUCACCUAGGCGACGAUCCCUAGCUGGUCUGAGAGGAUGACCAGCCACACUGGAACUGAGACACGGUCCAGACUCCUACGGGAGGCAGCAGUGGGGAAUAUUGCACAAUGGGCGCAAGCCUGAUGCAGCCAUGCCGCGUGUAUGAAGAAGGCCUUCGGGUUGUAAAUACUUUCAGCGGUGAGCGAGGCCAGACAGGGGGGAUCUGGGCGUUCGGCGGUUUCCCGCGCUGGCGCGCCCCCCCAGGCACCUCCUUUUUCCUCAAUAGUGCGGAUGGUUACCGAAGGCGGUCGUUUUUACCGGAAACGCUAGACCCUGGGGGCGUUAUUGAUAUAUAGGAUGUAGUGUCGGUGUUUUUCCUCCCAGGCCAUUCCCCCCUAUUAAAAAGGAGGGCCCUCCCUCGGAACGCGCCCCAGGGCU
RNAcentral lists this ribosomal RNA (643 nucleotides) under uncultured bacterium. Its description in RNAcentral is "partial 16S ribosomal RNA". The stretch from base 1 to 471 matches the Rfam family "Bacterial small subunit ribosomal RNA", at positions 41 to 539 of the family's 1533-position model. The record is from RNAcentral.